This 75-nucleotide transfer RNA is filed under the name Parcubacteria group bacterium CG11_big_fil_rev_8_21_14_0_20_39_14. Its description in RNAcentral is "tRNA-Arg". It matches the Rfam family "tRNA". Rfam says of the family: Transfer RNA (tRNA) molecules are approximately 80 nucleotides in length. Their secondary structure includes four short double-helical elements and three loops (D, anti-codon, and T loops). Further hydrogen bonds mediate the characteristic L-shaped molecular structure. tRNAs have two regions of fundamental functional importance: the anti-codon, which is responsible for specific mRNA codon recognition, and the 3' end, to which the tRNAs corresponding amino acid is attached (by aminoacyl-tRNA synthetases). tRNAs cope with the degeneracy of the genetic code in two manners: having more than one tRNA (with a specific anti-codon) for a particular amino acid; and 'wobble' base-pairing, i.e. permitting non-standard base-pairing at the 3rd anti-codon position. The record is from RNAcentral.
GCCCCCGUGGCGUAACGGAUAGCGUGCAAGCCUUCGGAGCUUGAGGUGAGGGUUCGAUUCCUUCCGGGGGCACCA